Molecule: ribosomal RNA, 268 nt
Filed under: uncultured bacterium
Lineage: Bacteria
Description: partial 16S ribosomal RNA
Rfam family: Bacterial small subunit ribosomal RNA
Source: RNAcentral
CGGUAAACAGAGGGAAGCGAGCCCGCAGGGGGAGGCAAAUCCAGAAAUAAACGUCCCAGUUCGGAUUGUAGUCUGCAACCCGGCUACAUGAAGCUGGAAUCGCUAGUAAUCGCGGAUCAGAAUGCCGCGGUGAAUACGUUCCCGGGUCUUGUACACACCGCCCGUCACACCAUGGGAGUCGGAAAUGCCCGAAGUCUGUGACCCAACCUCAGGGAGGGAGCAGCCGAAGGCAGGUCGGAUGACUGGGGUGAAGUCGUAACAAGGUAAC